UAAACGCAAUAAAGACAUCAUUACAUUUACAAAUGAUGCAUUACAAAUAAACAAAUCAUUACAAAUGGAGAUUUAAAGAUUGUUAUAUCGAUAAAUAGGUAUGUGUAAAGCGAAAUAUAUAUUUACUUUUAUUACCUAUUUGGGGUUAAUUUAAAAAUUAUUUUAAAGAGAAUUUUCCAAGGGAAAAAUAUAGCCCACAUGUGGCAUAGUAUCUAAUAAUAGUGACAUAUUCAUAGGAAAACACAUGGUGGUCAACUUUGCACGUUUGUCGCUUUUAUAUAUGCCUUGUGGAAGCGAGCAAAUUUUGUUAAAUGUUCUGUAUUUGCUAUUGAUUAUUGAAUACAAGGUGAAUUAAUAUAAUGAAUUAUGAAUAAUGAAUUCAAUUCAAUAACUGUGUUUCCUUUUGGAGUUGACCACCAAGUGCGCUAAAGUGUCACAUGAUUCAGAUUGAAACCCAACUAUGGUCGCAUCACUGUUUAGUCUGUUAGUCACUCUUUUAAUCUGCCUUUUGCAAUUGGCCCAUUAGGAUUUGAAUCAUGUAGUCCGGCUUGGCUAAUUGACUAUUAGAGCAACAUAAAUAAUAAAUAUUUACUAAUAAUUAGUAAUAAUUAUUAGUUAGAAAUAUUAAUAUUUUAUUGCUUUAGGGAAUACUAUACAGUAACCUAGCCAGAGCUGGGGGGACCCCUCUCAGAAAAUGUUGCCCCCCCCCCCGUACAUCCAGGGGCGAAACUAGCCCAUUUUAAUUAAGGGGUGUCUGCUAGAAUUUCCCUGCAAAAGCCGAUGAUGCCCUGCAGCAAAUUUUUUGGGGCCACUAUUUUUCCCAAAAAUGUUGGCGAGCCGGGGUGGGGGAGAUAGGUUGAAAAAAUUUUUCCGGACAUAAACCAGUCAAAUUAAGGGUCAAAAAUUUUUUUCCAUACAAAUUCCUUUUAAAACAUGCGUGAAACCCUUAUUUUUGGACCAGUAUCUGUAAAAUGUGGGUCUUAAAUCCCUGUAAGUUACUUAAUAACUCUACAUUCUAUCAUUUAGAAUCUUUGAUUGCCCUGCCAAUCCAGAUGAUUCGCCCUGCCAAUCCAGAUGAUUCGUACUUUGGGGGGUGUCACACUCCCCCAUAUAAUAUUUGUAUUCUAUUUUACAUAGUUUAUUUCUAAUAUCAACUGCACGCUACAAAAUACUAAUCCUAAUGAUUCCAUGUGCUCUCCGGUCACAUGACUAUAUCUAUCACUCAAGUCUAUGACAUCACUACACCCCAUACCCCCCCCCCCAUCAAGUUUCGUCCCUGCGUACAUCUAACUUUUGUAUGCCUUGAUUAAGCUGUCCCUCCCCCUGGGUCCACAAAGUCUGAGUGCAUAUUUUUGGAAAUACAACAUUUGAAUUUUUCUUAUAUUUUACUAGAAAUUAUGCACAAUAACACAGUAAAUUUUUAGUAAAAUGUUCAAGGAAAAGGAUCUUCCAACAGCAGCAGAUGACACAGCAAAUCUUUAGUAAAAUGUUCAAGGAAAAGAAACUUCCAACAGCAGCAGAUGACACAGUAAAUCUUUAGUAAAAUGUUCAAGGAAAAGAUCUUCCAACAGUGGCAGAUAACACAAUAAAUCUUUACUCUGUCUAACGCUAGAUCAUUUUACUCAUCAAGUGGAGUCUUGCAACUUAAUGGGUUAAUGAAUCAGUUGGUUAUUACAACCGAUUUCAACUUGAUUCAUAUUUAACAUUCACUUUAACCCAUUUACUGGCAGUACUCUACCACUGACGAGUAAUUAAUCGUCUGGCAUUAGACAGAGUAAAUACUAAGUAGGGCACAUUUGGGCACAUUCACAUUGUCAGUUAAUGAGUUAAUAUUAACA
Non-coding RNA from Paramuricea clavata, 1838 nucleotides. Lineage: Eukaryota; Metazoa; Cnidaria; Anthozoa; Malacalcyonacea; Plexauridae. The record is from the annotation of a GenBank genome assembly.